Molecule: ribosomal RNA, 497 nt
Filed under: uncultured bacterium
Lineage: Bacteria
Description: partial 16S ribosomal RNA
Rfam family: Bacterial small subunit ribosomal RNA
Source: RNAcentral
GACGAACGCUGGCGGCGUGCCUAAUACAUGCGAGUAGAACGCUGAAGCGAGGAGCUUGCUCUUCUUGGAUGAGUUGCGAACGGGUGAGUAACGCGUAGGUAACCUGCCUUGUAGCGGGGGAUAACUAUUGGAAACGAUAGCUAAUACCGCAUAACAAUGGAUGACACAUGUCAUUUAUUUGAAAGGGGCAAUUGCUCCACUACAAGAUGGACCUGCGUUGUAUUAGCUAGUAGGUGAGGUAAUGGCUCACCUAGGCGACGAUACAUAGCCGACCUGAGAGGGUGAUCGGCCACCCUGGGACUGAGACACGGCCCAGACUCCUACGGGAGGCAGCAGUAGGGAAUCUUCGGCAAUGGGGGCAACCCUGACCGAGCAACGCCGCGUGAGUGAAGAAGGUUUUCGGAUCGUAAAGCUCUGUUGUAAGUCAAGAACGGGUGUGAGAGUGGAAAGUUCACACUGUGACGGUAGCUUACCAGAAAGGGACGGCUAACUACGUG